This 465-nucleotide ribosomal RNA is filed under the name uncultured Klebsiella sp. Its description in RNAcentral is "bacterial SSU rRNA". It matches the Rfam family "Bacterial small subunit ribosomal RNA", at positions 338 to 795 of the family's 1533-position model. The record is from RNAcentral. Lineage: Bacteria; Pseudomonadati; Pseudomonadota; Gammaproteobacteria; Enterobacterales; Enterobacteriaceae.
CCUACGGGGGGCAGCAGUGGGGAAUAUUGCACAAUGGGCGCAAGCCUGAUGCAGCCAUGCCGCGUGUGUGAAGAAGGCCUUCGGGUUGUAAAGCACUUUCAGCGGGGAGGAAGGCGGUGAGGUUAAUAACCUCAUCGAUUGACGUUACCCGCAGAAGGAGCACCGGCUAACUCCGUGCCAGCAGCCGCGGUAAUACGGAGGGUGCAAGCGUUAAUCGGAAUUACUGGGCGUAAAGCGCACGCAGGCGGUCUGUCAAGUCGGAUGUGAAAUCCCCGGGCUCAACCUGGGAACUGCAUUCGAAACUGGCAGGCUAGAGUCUUGUAGAGGGGGGUAGAAUUCCAGGUGUAGCGGUGAAAUGCGUAGAGAUCUGGAGGAAUACCGGUGGCGAAGGCGGCCCCCUGGACAAAGACUGACGCUCAGGCGCGAAAGCGUGGGGAGCAAACAGGAUUAGAUACCCUAGUAGUC